GUUGUAAUUUGCAGAGGAUGCUUCGGGUGCAGCCCCCGUCUAAGUGCCCUGGAACGGGCCGUCAUAGAGGGUGAGAAUCCCGUCUGGGACGGGGUGUCUGCGUCCGUGUGAAGCUCCUUCGAAGAGUCGAGUUGUUUGGGAAUGCAGCUCUAAAUGGGUGGUAAAUUUCAUCUAAAGCUAAAUACUGGCCGGAGACCGAUAGCGCACAAGUAGAGUGAUCGAAAGAUGAAAAGCACUUUGAAAAGAGAGUUAAACAGCACGUGAAAUUGUUGAAAGGGAAGCGUUUGCGACCAGACUCGCCCGCGGGGUUCAGCCGGCAUUCGUGCCGGUGUACUUCCCCGUGGGCGGGCCAGCGUCGGUUUGGGCGGCCGGUCAAAGGCCCUCGGAAUGUAUCACCUCUCGGGGUGUCUUAUAGCCGAGGGUGCAAUGCGGCCUGCCCGGACCGAGGAACGCGCUUCGGCUCGGACGCUGGCGUAAUGGUCGUAAAUGACCCGUCUUGAAACACGGACCAAGGAGUCUAACAUCUACGCGAGUGUUCGGGUGUCAAACCCGUACGCGCAGUGAAAGCGAACGGAGGUGGGAGCCCCCUCGUGGGGCGCACCAUCGACCGAUCCUGAUGUCUUCGGAUGGAUUUGAGUACGAGCGUAGCUGUGGGGACCCGAAAGAUGGUGAACUAUGCCUGAAUAGGGCGAAGCCAGAGGAAACUCUGGUGGAGGCUCGCAGCGG
This 726-nucleotide ribosomal RNA is filed under the name soil fungal sp. DM2-398. RNAcentral's name for it is "eukaryotic LSU rRNA". It matches the Rfam family "Eukaryotic large subunit ribosomal RNA", at positions 142 to 883 of the family's 3401-position model. The record is from RNAcentral. Lineage: Eukaryota; Fungi.